UUGAAAGGGAAACGAUUGAAGUCAGUCAUGUUGGUAGGGAAUCAACUUGAUGGUUUGCGGGUUUACUCGUGUUCUUUCGAGUGCACUUCCUUACUUGCUAGUUAGCAUCAAUUUUGGUUAUCAUAUAAAAAUUGAGGGAAGGUGGCUUUUCUUCGGAAAAGUGUUAUAGACCUUGAUUAAUAUGGUGACCGGGAUUGAGGAUUGCAGCGGAUACCCUUUUGGGCUAGUCACCUGGCUUCUGAUGGUUACCCCGCCUUCGAUAGCUUGCUAACGUUGAUGGGAUUUAAUUAUCUAGAUGUUGGAGUGAUCAUAAAUUCGUUAAGGAUGUUGACGUA
Molecule: ribosomal RNA, 335 nt
Filed under: uncultured Glomeromycotina
Lineage: Eukaryota; Fungi; Glomeromycota
Description: LSU rRNA
Source: RNAcentral